RNAcentral lists this long non-coding RNA (7653 nucleotides) under Jatropha curcas. RNAcentral describes it as "long non-coding RNA (JCUR_LNC003324)". Lineage: Eukaryota; Viridiplantae; Streptophyta; Magnoliopsida; Malpighiales; Euphorbiaceae. The record is from RNAcentral.
GAUGGGAAGCAAGGGGCCAGAGUGGGUACACCUAGUUGCAAUUUCAGGUACGAGAUAGAGCUUUUCUAUGACUCUGCCGCCGAGACACUGCCACCAUCACCAUCACCAGCUCCAGCACCUCUACCAUCAUCAUCUUCACCACCACUGGCGCCUCCACCUCUACCAUCGUCAUCUUCACCACCACUGGCGCCUCAACCACCAACUGGUAGAGCUAGCUUAAUAGGUAAUUACUAUUUCUUUGUAUAAUGUAUGCAUAAAAAAUCCUUAAAGAAAAAAAAAAAGUGCACUUGCCGAUCUAUACCGCCAAAUUCAGCUAUAAUCAAAUUUCGUUCUGGUUUUACAGGAAAAGCAAGUAAUAUAGCUGCAGGAGGUUUCAUCGCCACUUUGCUCCUAGUGUUACUUUAGUGGUACCUUUCGUCUUCAUCUCUCUAUUCACGACAUUUCCGAUCGGAGAAGGUUGAAUCAAUGUAUUCUGUGUAAACGGUUUUGCUCCAUAAUAUAAUGAAAAAGGCUAAAUAAGUGGUUUUGGCUAGUAUUGUUUUCUGCAUAGAUAAUUUGCAGGAAUAUGUAAUAGCUGUAUCUUAAUUUCACAUGUCCUGGUUGAACAUUGUGUAUCUUUUACAAUAAUAAGUCGACUGAAAAUAAAGCAACACCAUAGCUAUGUAGAUAGAUGGAGUUCUACAAAAUAAUUAAGAUAAUCUAAUUUCUUUAGAAUUAUCCAAUUGACAAGAAGGAAAUUCUAAAAGAAAAAAUUCAUCAAUUAGCCAGGAAUAAACAAUUGCAUAAAGAAGCCGUAGACAAAACUAUGACAAAAGAGUUGAACUUUAACAUAUAGGCACAGUAUUAAAACUAAAUAUACUUGAAGAAGUAAUUCAUCUUAUCAAGAACUUUAAACAAGCUUGUUUUAAGGGAAAAAAAGAAAAAGACAAAAGUUGCUGACUUUUAACGAGGUUCUAGCUCUGUAAUCGAAGCAUCGUUAAUUGAGCAUUGGAUAGGCCUGCCUUGGGACAGUCUUGCCGGAGUCGAUUCUGGUGACAGUGAUGUUUUUCGCUCCAUGGAACUGCGCAUAAGAUAUGCAGGUUUUGACGGUUUUGUGAGAACAAGAGAGUGGCUAGUGAGCAUGAGAACCACUGAAGCCCUGGUUGGUCUUUUGGCUGCGUCUUCUUGUAAGCAUAGUAAUGCUAUAUGGAUGCAUCUCAAUAUUUCACUUCUUGAAGAAUCUUCCAAUAGGACAGGAUCUAUUACAUUUGAAGCAGUCCCUUUAUUCUAGUUCUCCCAUGCCUACAAAUAUUAAAGAUUUUCAGAUUGAUGAGUCGAAUAGCUAAUUGAAAGGAGAAAUAUAACAAGAAGCAUAUAUUUACAUAGGUUAGAAACUGUUCCCCUUCUUCUACAUUUCGGAAAUUACGGUUCUCUUGACCAUUGAUAAUUUCCAAAACUAGCACACCAAAAGCUAAAGACAUCUGCUUUCACUAACACAAGUCCAUGCUUCACGUACUCUGGAGCCAUAUAGCCACUGAACGUGACAACAAUUAAUUGUUUGAUUUUGGAUACAAAUAACUUUUGUUUUGUGCUAACGAUGAAUGCACUGCUGUAAAUAAUUUUUAUACUUGCAAGGUUCCUAUGACUUUGCUUGUAGCAGCCUGAGAUUGAUCGAUUGCAAACAAUUUUGCAAUUCCAAAGUCUGCAAUUUUAGGCUUCGUAUUUUCAUCUAGGGAACAUUGCUAAGUUUGAGAUCGCGAUGAAUAAUCCGGAGCUGAGAAUCUUCAUGAAGAUAAAGAAUUCCAAAGGCUAUGCCCACUAUAAUUUUGUGGGCUUCUCCCAAUCCAGUAGUAAACGCUUCCCUUGAUCUGCAAAUUUAAGAUCUGUUAGGAUUUAUUAGAUAGAUAUUUAUACUUGUAAUUAGUUGUAAAUAAAUACUUCUAUUCUCAAUAAAUAGAUUGAGAGAGAGUCAUUUUUUACCCAAACAUUAAAUCUCAUCAAGAUCUCAUAUAUAUAGUUCAAAUGAAAACCAAAAUAGAGUAGAGAAGAAAUUCAGGAACUAAUACCAAAUAUGAAACGGUCGACACUUGAAUUUGGCACGAACUCAUAGAGAAGAAGUUUUUCAUUUCCUUCAAAGCAGAAACCCAAGAGCCUAACCAAAUUCGUACGUUGAAUCCUGGCCACUAUCGUGACUUCAUUCUUAAAUUGAACUUCUCCUUGCCUUGAGUUUCUUAGCAGCUUUUUCACAGCUACUCGCUGUCCAUCUGGAAGGAUUCCCCAAUUCAAAAAAAUAUUAAUUAAAAAUUAAAAUAUACAAAUGAAGAAAGGAAAUUUGAAAGGAGAUUGACAUGUUGUGAGAUCAGAACCAAAUCCGCCUUGUCCAAGUUUAUUAUUAUCAGAGAAGUUAUCAGUUGCAAGUCUGAUUGUUUCAUGGGUGAAUUGCUGGCAUCCUGUGCUACUAUUUUCGUUCAAAUCUUCAGCAUGUAACUUACUUUUGGUCGGUUGCUUUGACUUCCUAUAACGGAAUAGGGCGCAAGUGAGGGCCAUAACUGACACCAAGAUUAUUGUAGGAGCAACGCCAAUUACAACAGCGCGAGCAGCUAAACUUCAUUUUCUGCCCAGAUCAGAAAUUGUGAAAAAAGGACUGAAAAAUCAGAUAGAUAUAUUUAACACAAACUGAGAGUGAACUAAUUAAUAAUUCAAAUUCCAGAGCUUAGCCACCUUGCCUUCUUGUAUAAUUGACUGCAGAGGGAGAAAUAUUAAGCAAAGGUGGAGGAGGUGGUGUUGGAGGUUCAGCAAUAGAAGUAUAGAAUGGGUACAAAUCCCAUCGGAAUGUACAACUAGGCUUCGUAACAUAAAAUCCUCGCUUCCCACGGCUACAGUUAUUAUAAUCACCCGCUGCCUGUUGUAGACAAUAGCUGCAAUCGCUCGAGGAUAAAUCAGGAGUACAUUGCAUUAGUGCAUAUAUUCUUUGAAGGGGUCUAACAUCUGCUUCUUCUUUUUUUUCUUUUUUCAUCAAAUUCUCACUGAUUUUUAGAUAAAGUAUCAUAUGCUAAAUGGUCUCCAAACAUAAAAAUUUACAAGCUAAAAGGACAAUUAUCAAUUAAACUCAAUUUUCUAAAUUAAUUUCUUCACUUGUUUUGAUGUAAAAUUGUGAUUUCUCUUUAAGUUGGUAGUCAUUGUUUUAGUUAUUUUUUAUUUUUUUUUAACUUCCAAUUGGUUAUUAUUGUGGGAUUUGGCAACAUAGAAAAAUAUAAUUAAUUAUUAUAGAAAAACAUAAACAAUUUGGCAAUGCAUUGUUAACAGCAUUUUAGGCCCGUUAAUUAGUAAUUGCAGUUUAUUGGAGUCCAUAAGUAAAGGUAUUGGGCCACUCUUGAUGGGCCUUUACGAAAAGGUAACCCGAUCUGACGUUUUCUACAAGGCCGUUUAAUCCGAGUCCCUGAAAAUUCUUUGACAGGUUCUGAGAAUCUAGAUGCUAGGGAUGAUACCGCGUUACAAUAAACUAAUUUACCAUCCAUUACAGACAUAUUCAACAAUGACAUGUUCUACUCUUGAAACAAAAAAAAAAAAACAAGAGGAAAAUUUUCAAAUAUUCUGACCGGUGAACUUGUAGAAUCCCAUAAAUAUUUGAUAAAGACUGAUUUUCAGAGGGUGAGCUUGUACAUUGCACGACGUGAAUGGCUUCUUUAACAAUUCUAUUGUCCUGUUCUUAUCUUCUCCUACGACUAGUUUCUCUAGCCAAUGCUCAGCCAGACUUCUUGUUCCCGUUCUGUAACAAUGGAAGAGGUAAUUAUACAACUAACAGCCUCUACAAAAGAAACCUCGACAAUCUCCUGUCAUCCCUCGCUUCCAACACCGAAAUUGACAAUGGAUUUUACAAUCUCUCUGUCGGCGAAGCCCCGGACCAAGUAAGUGCUAUUGGGCUCUGUAGAGGAGAUGUGGGGCUUGAAGACUGUCGAGGUUGUAUAAGCAACGCUACUAGUAAGAUCUUACAGAUUUGUCCAAACCAGAAGGAAGCUUUUGGAGUAUAUGAUUUCUGUACUCUGCGAUACUCCAACAGAUCCAUAUUUGGUGUGAUGGAAGGAUCACCCGUUUUCCGUAUCUGGAAUACAAACAAUGCUUCGGAUGUGAACCGUUUCACUCAGGCACUGCAAACGUUGUUGAGUAGACUUCGGAGCGAGACAGCGUCAGGGAACUCAACUCGAAAGUUUGCAAUAGGAAAUGAAAACGCAGGAUUUGAAAAUGUAUUUGGACUAACGGAAUGCAGUCCUGACUUAUCUAGCCAGGAGUGCGAUGAUUGCCUGGCUCAGGCUAUUCGGGACAUUCCUGGAUGCUGUGCUGGAAGUUUAGGAGCACAAAUAAUUAAACCCAGUUGCAACGUCAGGUUUGACAAUAGGUUCUUUUACCAACUUCCAUCACCAUCAUCACCGGCUGUACCUCUUCCUCCACCAUCAGAAGGUUGGCAGACUUAUAAACUCCCUGUUGUAUAGCAUAUAUAAUUGCAUUUUAACAAAUAAUUAAUGGAGCUGAAUUGAUUUCUGCAGGAAAGAAGAGCAACAAAGCACGAACAGUCAUUAUCAUCGUAGUUCCAACUGUCAGUGUUGUGGUAUUAUUAGCCAUCAUCAUCUUCUGCAUCUUUUUCAGGACGCGGAGGAAGCCAAAUGAAAAAGCUGAAAGUAAGUAAAAAUAGAUUGGACUUAUAGUUUCUUGAUGUACAUUUUAAGAAUGUAUUAUUACAUAUUAAUUUCAUUUUGCAAUUGGGCUAAUUAAUUUGUUCCCUUUUGUUGUGAUGUAAAGCUGUAGAUGACAUUGAAACUGCAGAAUCUUUGCAGUUGGACUUUGAAACUGUUAAAGCUGCAACAAAUAACUUCUCUGAUGAAAAUAAGCUCGGGCAAGGUGGAUUUGGUGCUGUUUACAAGGUAAUAAUGGAAUUCUAUAGAAUGGACAAAUAAUAAUCUAAUUAAAUUUUUCCAUAUCUGAAAAUGUAAUUAACUAAUUUUCAGGGUACAUUAUAUAACGGUCAAACAAUAGCAGUGAAGAGACUGUCUAAAGAUUCAGGACAAGGAGAUCUAGAAUUUAAAAAUGAAGUCCUUUUGGUGGCUAAGCUUCAGCACAGAAAUUUAGUUAGGCUUCUCGGUUUCUGCUUGGAAGGCAAUGAAAGGCUUCUUAUCUAUGAGUUUGUCCCAAACACUAGCCUUGACCAUUUCUUAUUUGGUAAGAAAUGGCAUAUAUAUUUAAUUAUAAUUAAUCAUCUCGCUAUAGCAAAAUUAAUGUCUAUAUUAACUUAUACAUUAUAACUACUUAGAUCGAACAAAGCGUGAAGAAUUAGAUUGGGAAACACGUUACAAGAUUAUUUGUGGCAUAGCUCGAGGACUUGUUUACCUUCACGAGGACUCUCGGCUUCGAAUCAUUCAUCGUGACAUGAAAGCCAGCAAUAUUCUAUUAGACGCUGACAUGAAUCCAAAAAUCUCAGAUUUUGGCAUGGCAAGGUUGUUUGUAAUGGAUCAAACUCAAGGCAACACAAGCAGAAUUGUCGGAACCUAGUAAGUAUUAUAUAUAUUUUUAAUAAUAGCCAAUUGAAAAUAAUCUAGGCAUGUCAAUAUAUAUGUUUUUGGUAUACAGUGGCUAUAUGGCUCCAGAGUAUGCAAUGCACGGGCAAUUUUCAGUCAAAUCAGACGUAUUUAGCUUCGGUGUUCUAAUUUUGGAGAUUUUGAGUGGUCAAAGAAAUAAUGGUUUCCGCAAUGGAGAGAACAUAGAGGAUCUUUUGAGCUAUGUAAGUAAAUUUAAGUUUUACUUAUCUAUUCAACAAAAUAUUGAAAGGACUGCCCCUUUCCUUAACUAAGAACCUGUAUAAAUUCUGCAGGCAUGGAGAAAUUUUAGGGAAGGCACAUCUAUGAAUCUUAUAGACCCAACUUUGAGGAGUGGUUCAAGAACUGAAAUGAUGAGAUGUGUCCAUAUUGGAUUACUAUGUGUUCAGGAAAAUGUAGUUGAUAGGCCAAACAUGGCUUUAGUUGUUCUUAUGCUAAAUAGCUAUUCAACUACUUUACCUUUACCUUUAGAGCCUGCAUUUUUUAUGCACAGCAGCGCUCAUUCAGAUGUGUCUUCUUCAGCAAGCUACUAUUCAAAAAUGACAGAAUCCUCGCAUUCGAAAAUUGAAACUCUUCCAUUGUCUAGAAAUGACUCAUCAGCUAUUACGAAUUUAUAUCCUCUGUAGGAAAUUAUUUUUGAAAACAAAUUUUGGUUGUUGUAUUUAUAUUGAUUAUUUCAAAUAUUUUGUAGCUAUAUUACGUUUGUGUGUAAUUUUGACGAUUUAUUCAAAGAUUCAAAAAAUAGACAUGUUGUGUACUGAUAGAGAUAUAUGGUCAAUUCUCCGUUGGCUACACUCAUAGACCAAACUAAUGAAUAAUAGAAUUUUUGUUAAAACGAAAAUAUUUUUGACUAAACACAGGAGAAAAAACAAUGAAGUAAGAACAAUUUUUUUAACCAAAAUUUUUAAUUUAAUCUGAAGUGGGUCUAAUUCCUUUGUAAUGAUAAUGAAUAUUAAUAAUUUCUCUCUCUUUCUUUUACUUUCAAAAAUAUUAAUAUUUUUUUAUGAUUAGUUGAAUAAUUAAUUUUGGCCGAUAGGCAGUUUGGCUUUUUUCUGUUGGAAACGAUAACCAAGUCAACGGUGAAAUUAUGACUUUUUUGUUCUGGUGGACCAAGUCGUAGUUUUAUUAAAUUGGGCCUGGGCCCUAUAGAAGGAUUAAGGAAGAGUGCAGACAUGGGCUAUAAGGAAAGAGAAUCUGAAGUCAACAAAAUGAUGUGUUCAUGGGAAUUUAACAAUCGAUUCAGUUAAAUUUUGGGUCUUCCUUUUCCACAUUCUGCAAUAUCUCAUCUCAACUGCUCAAGAAUCAAAAUGGCGAAUAGCAUAAUCAUGGGCUGUAUAGAAUUUGUUUGUCUUAUUUUCCAUCUUCUCAUUGGCAUAAACUUUGCCGAUGCUCUUUUGAAAUGUUACGACACAGGAAACUUCACAGCCAACAGUACAUACGCCAAUAAUCGAGCUCUCAUCCUUUCUUCUUUAGCUUCAAACGUCACAGCAAAUGGAGGUUUCUACACCACAACAGUAGGCCAAGGAACAAACAAAAUUUAUGGUCUGGUGCUUUGCAGAUAUGACUAUUCAUCAGAAGCUUGCUCCAAAUGUGUCAACGAGUCAAUUGAAAAGCUGACCACAACAUGUCCUAACCAGAAAGAAGCAGUGAUAUGGACUGGGAAUCCUUGUAAAAUACACUACGCGAAUCGCUCAUUUUUCGGACAGCUGGAGGUAGAUCCUUCCGAGACUGGCUAUAAUACAGCUGACCUCCCAUCUAGUAUUAAUAUGUCUGCGUUUGAUCAGACUUGGACUAGUUUGAUGGAAAGCUUAGCAACGAAAGCAUCUAUGUCCAAUUCUACGCUUAAGACUGCGACAGGAGAAUCAGACGUCGGAUCCUUUCGAAGAAUAUAUGCAGUAAUGCAAUGUAGCCCUGAUUUAUCCCAGAGCAAUUGCAGCUAUUGUCUACAACAAGCACCAAGUGCUUAUAAUAACUGUUGCCAUGGGAAGCAAGGAGGUUAUGUUAGGAAGCCUAGUUGUACAUUCCGAUGGGAUUUGUACCCAUUCUAUACUCCUGUUGCUGAACCUCCAACACCAUCUUCUCCACC